This 520-nucleotide ribosomal RNA is filed under the name uncultured bacterium. RNAcentral describes it as "bacterial SSU rRNA". It matches the Rfam family "Bacterial small subunit ribosomal RNA", at positions 120 to 674 of the family's 1533-position model. The record is from RNAcentral.
GGGAAUCUACCGUGCCCUAAGGAAUAGCUCCGGGAAACUGGAAUUAAUACCUUAUACGCCCUUUGGGGGAAAGAUUUAUCGGGGUAUGAUGAGCCCGCGUUGGAUUAGCUAGUUGGUGGGGUAAAGGCCUACCAAGGCGACGAUCCAUAGCUGGUCUGAGAGGAUGAUCAGCCACAUUGGGACUGAGACACGGCCCAAACUCCUACGGGAGGCAGCAGUGGGGAAUAUUGGACAAUGGGCGCAAGCCUGAUCCAGCCAUGCCGCGUGAGUGAUGAAGGCCCUAGGGUUGUAAAGCUCUUUCACCGGUGAAGAUAAUGACGGUAACCGGAGAAGAAGCCCCGGCUAACUUCGUGCCAGCAGCCGCGGUAAUACGAAGGGGGCUAGCGUUGUUCGGAAUUACUGGGCGUAAAGCGCACGUAGGCGGAUAUUUAAGUCAGGGGUGAAAUCCCGGGGCUCAACCCCGGAACUGCCUUUGAUACUGGGUAUCUAGAGUAUGGAAGAGGUGAGUGGAAUUCCGAGU